Molecule: unclassified non-coding RNA, 288 nt
Filed under: fungal sp.
Lineage: Eukaryota; Fungi
Description: partial internal transcribed spacer region
Rfam family: Eukaryotic small subunit ribosomal RNA (bases 1-46)
Source: RNAcentral
AAGUCGUAACAAGGUUUCCGUAGGUGAACCUGCGGAAGGAUCAUUACCGAGAUUUUUUCCUGCUUGCAGGAAAUCUCCCACCCUUUUGUGUAACGAAAUUUUGAUAUACUUUGGUAAAGCGCUUGUUGAGCAUACGUGCUAAGCAACCAGUGACUGACUUUUUUUUAUGUUAGUGGCUGUGUCUUUGCCAAAGGACCCCAAAUAUAACUCUAUUUUAUAUAAUUAUUUUGUCUGAGUUUAUAAUUUUUAAAAUAAACAAAACUUUCAACAACGGAUCUCUUGGUUCUG